UACGUAGGGGGCUAGCGUUGUCCGGAAUCAUUGGGCGUAAAGAGCGUGUAGGCGGCCCGGUAAGUCCGCUGUGAAAGCCGGGGGCUCAACCCUCGAAUGCCGGUGGAUACUGUCGGGCUAGAGUGCGGAAGAGGCGAGUGGAAUUCCUGGUGUAGCGGUGAAAUGCGCAGAUAUCAGGAGGAACACCGAUUGCGAAGGCAGCUCGCUGGGACGUCACUGACGCUGAGACGCAAAAGCGUGGGGAGCAAACAGG
This 253-nucleotide ribosomal RNA is filed under the name uncultured bacterium. Its description in RNAcentral is "partial 16S ribosomal RNA". It matches the Rfam family "Bacterial small subunit ribosomal RNA", at positions 524 to 776 of the family's 1533-position model. The record is from RNAcentral.